AUUACAUUCUAUAGUCUUCUGGACCUACACAUUGAUUACAUUCUAUAACUACUUCUACAAACGAGGCUACACUUGUGGCAGCACCUAUUCCUGUGGCCCCCCCAUCUUCUGCACCACUUCUUGUGGCCCCCCUCCACCAUUCCCUGAGGCUUAUCGUCCACCUUCACCACACUCUUCUGUUGAUGUUGGUGAUGACAAUGAUGUUGACCUCCAAACACUGCUGAAGUUAAUGAGAUGCCAACCGAAUUAACGUGAUGAGGGACAACGUUUAUGAUUGUGCAAUGAGAGGCUUUAAGAGAGCCCGCUUUAAUCCGGAGGCAAAAAUAGACAUGGUUUUUAGGGAUGGUGACGGAAAAGGGGCAGCUGAUGAGGGUGGUCCCUCAAGAGAAUUUCUCUGGCUGCUAAUGAGUGCCAUCCAUUCCUUUGCAAUAUUUGAGGGACCUGAUUGGCAAAAAUGCCUUUCUUGCAACUCUCAAGCACUCUAUGAUGGCGUAUACAAGCAGGUGGGCCACAUGAUUGCUGUCUGUCUAGUACAUGGGGGUGUAAAGACACAUUUUUUCAGAGGCUAUACAGGCAAGUAUAUGGCCUACAACCUCCUGUGCCAGAAAUGAAAGAAAUGGUGGAAUAUAACUUAAGAGAGAAGUUGGAGAAGGUAAGUACUUUAUACUGUGAUGGAUGCUAUGUUACUGUUCAUUUGCACUAAGUUCGAAAAAAAAUAUUAGGGUUGUAGAUGUUCAUGAAGACUUUUCCACAUGGAUUUGGUUUCCUUUUGUUGGCAGUCAAUGUUUUUUAAGGGUAGUGAUAAUCAGUUUAUUUUGCUAAUUUUUCCCAAAACACUGUUCAAUAAACAAACAAUUUAAGAUCCAGUUAGCACAAACUGUUGACGAGGCACAGGAAGCGGUCGAGUUGGGUCCAGUGCGAUACAUUCGUACAUUGGAGAGGGAUGCCAUGGUGGAGUCAGCCACAAAGUUCUACUUAGAAAGCAGGAUAUGGGAUGCUCUUGAGUAGUGAGUCUCAAGUUUAGUUAAAUUCUUC
RNAcentral lists this long non-coding RNA (1035 nucleotides) under Salmo salar (Atlantic salmon). Its description in RNAcentral is "lncRNA (ENSSSAG00000090573.1, ENSSSAG00000101454.1, ENSSSAG00020008279.1)". Lineage: Eukaryota; Metazoa; Chordata; Actinopteri; Salmoniformes; Salmonidae. The record is from RNAcentral.